Molecule: long non-coding RNA, 620 nt
Organism: Gadus macrocephalus (Pacific cod)
Lineage: Eukaryota; Metazoa; Chordata; Actinopteri; Gadiformes; Gadidae
Exons: 3
Source: RefSeq, a predicted model, not a curated record
CCCUCCUCCAGGUUCACCGCAGCGUCAACGACGUCAGCAAACUGGCGCACACUCUGCCCGCCUUUUGGCUCCGCACAGUCACAGCUAUCAAAGAACAUGAGCAUAGCAUAUAGCACAGAGCUGUAGGUAGUAGCACAGCGCUAUAGGUAGUAGCACAGAGCUAUAGGUAGUAUCACAGCUAUAGGUAGUAUCACAGCUAUAGGUAGUAUCACAGCUAUAGGUAGUAGCACAGAGCUAUAGGUAGUAGAACAGAGCUACUGGUAGUAGCACAGAGCUGUAGGUAGUAGAACAGAGCUGUAGGUAGAAGCACAGAGCUGUAGCUAGUAGCACAGAGCUAUAGGUAGUAGAACAGAGCUUUAGGUAGAAGCACAGAGCUACACCAUAUUAUACAAGGCUUGCAUAAUAUGGUGUAGAGGGCGGGAUGACUCAGCAGUUACUUUGAGGGUGUCAUGUCAGCGCGAAGGCUUGUUCAUGUUUAGAGUCGGAUUUCUGGUGCAAAUGAAAGGUCUGCUAUCCAGGAGGUCCUGGAGAGGGAGCGGAGCUUCUGGGUCGAUUAUUCUACAACGUUGAUUGUUUUUAGUUUUACGUUGCGUGAUUCGAGAAGGGGUUGUUAUUGUUUU